UACGUAGGGUGCAAGCGUUAAUCGGAAUUACUGGGCGUAAAGGGUGCGUAGGUGGUUAGAUAAGUUAGGUGUGAAAGCCCUGGGCUUAACCUGGGAGUUGCGCCUAAUACUGUUUAGCUAGAGUACUGUAGAGGAAGGUGGAAUUUCCGGUGUAGCGGUGAAAUGCGUAGAUAUCGGAAGGAACAUCAGUGGCGAAGGCGACUUUCUGGACAGAUACUGACACUGAGGCACGAAAGCAUGGGGAGCAAACAGG
This 253-nucleotide ribosomal RNA is filed under the name uncultured bacterium. Its description in RNAcentral is "partial 16S ribosomal RNA". It matches the Rfam family "Bacterial small subunit ribosomal RNA", at positions 524 to 776 of the family's 1533-position model. The record is from RNAcentral.